GCUCACGUAGCUCAGUAGGCAGAGCGUCACCUUGGUAAGGUGGAGGUCGACGGUUCGAUCCCGUUCGUGAGCUCCA
This 76-nucleotide transfer RNA is filed under the name Clostridium polyendosporum. Its description in RNAcentral is "tRNA-Thr". It matches the Rfam family "tRNA". Rfam says of the family: Transfer RNA (tRNA) molecules are approximately 80 nucleotides in length. The record is from RNAcentral. Lineage: Bacteria; Bacillati; Bacillota; Clostridia; Eubacteriales; Clostridiaceae.